RNAcentral lists this ribosomal RNA (220 nucleotides) under Sophora microphylla. The record is from RNAcentral. Lineage: Eukaryota; Viridiplantae; Streptophyta; Magnoliopsida; Fabales; Fabaceae.
CAUCGUUGCCCCAAUGCCUCAGCCUGUUGCUAGGCUUAGUAAAGGGGUGAUGUUGGCUUCCCGUGAGCGAUGCCUCACGGUUGGCUGAAAAUUGAGUCCGUGGUGGAGUGCGCCGCGAUGGAUGGUGGUUGAGUAAAAGCUCGAGACCGAUCGUGUGUGUCACCCCUACCGGAUUUGGGACUCUUUGACCCAUGAGAGGCGUUGGCUGCCAAAGACGGGA